RNAcentral lists this ribosomal RNA (484 nucleotides) under uncultured bacterium. RNAcentral describes it as "partial 16S ribosomal RNA". It matches the Rfam family "Bacterial small subunit ribosomal RNA", at positions 30 to 507 of the family's 1533-position model. The record is from RNAcentral.
AUUGAACGCUGGCGGCAGGCCUAACACAUGCAAGUCGAGCGGAUGAAGGGAGCUUGCUUCUGGAUUCAGCGGCGGACGGGUGAGUAAUGCCUAUGAAUCUGCUUGGUAUUGGUGGAUAACGUCCGGAAACGGGUGCUACUACUGCAUACGACCUGCGGGUGAAAGAGGGGGAGGUUCGGACCUCAUGCUCUCAGAUGAGCCUAGGUCGGAUUAGAUAGUUGGUUGGUUAAAGACCUACCAAGGCGACGAUCCGUAACUGGUCUGAGAGGGUGAUCAGUCACACUGGAACGGAGACACGGUCCAGGGUCCUGCGGGAGGCAGCAGUGGGGAAUAUUGGGCAGAGGGCGGAAACCUGGUCCAGCCAUGCCGCGUGUGUGAAAGAGGUCUUCGGAUUGUGAAGCACUUUAAGUUGGGAGGAAGGGCAGUAAGUUAAUACCUUGCUGUUUUGACGUUACCAACAGAAUAAGCACCGGCUAACUUCGUG